UAGGGAAUUUUGCGCAAUGGGGGAAACCCUGACGCAGCAACGCCAUGUGUGGGAUGAAGCAUUUCGGUGUGUAAACCACUGUCAGCGGGGACUAAACGGCUUAAGAGGCCUUUGAAUGUACCCGCAGAGGAAGCCCCGGCUAACUUCGUGCCAGCAGCCGCGGUAAUACGAGGGGGGCUAGUGUUGUUCGGAAUCACUGGGCGUAAAGGGAGCGUAGGCGGGAGCUCAAGUUGGGUGUUUAAUUCCGGGGCCCAACCCCGGGCAUGCACUCAAAACUGGGUUUCUUGAAUAGGGGAGAGGUCGAUGGAAUUGGAGGUGUAGCGGUGGAAUGCGUAGAGAUCUCCAAGAACACCGGUUGCGAAGGCGGUCGACUGGACCCAUAUUGACGCUGAGGCUCGAAAGCGUGGGGAGCAAACAGG
Molecule: ribosomal RNA, 419 nt
Filed under: uncultured bacterium
Lineage: Bacteria
Description: bacterial SSU rRNA
Rfam family: Bacterial small subunit ribosomal RNA
Source: RNAcentral